GCUCCCUUGUUGGGAGAGAGUGUGUCAGCUCGGCAGCUUCACCAUAGUGAGUGAGGGAUUCCUCUCCACAGACAGGAGGAGUGGUGGGCCAAGAUGAUCCUGUGCUGCUCACUAACCAGCAGUCAGACCUAAAAAUAAUUAAAUGCAAAAGACUUGGACAUAUUUCUAAAUUCCAAGAAGAUUGUUAUAGUAGCUACUGCCAACAACAGGACAGUGAUGAGUCCCCUCAUCAACAAACUGAAAUCUGGACUUCAAAACUAACAGAUGUCCUCAGCCUGAAGCUUGACAGCUGUGUUAAAAGUACACAUUAUGAGGAGUUCUGGCAGAAGCUGGUCAUAAUCGGUUUUUAGCCAUAAAUAAAGAACAUCGAGCCUAUAAUUCGU
Molecule: long non-coding RNA, 383 nt
Organism: Arvicola amphibius (Eurasian water vole)
Lineage: Eukaryota; Metazoa; Chordata; Mammalia; Rodentia; Cricetidae
Exons: 3
Source: RefSeq, a predicted model, not a curated record